Molecule: ribosomal RNA, 253 nt
Filed under: uncultured bacterium
Lineage: Bacteria
Description: partial 16S ribosomal RNA
Rfam family: Bacterial small subunit ribosomal RNA
Source: RNAcentral
UACGUAGGGUGCAAGCGUUAAUCGGAAUUACUGGGCGUAAAGCGUGCGCAGGCGGUUUUGUAAGUCUGACGUGAAAUCCCCGGGCUCAACCUGGGAAUGGCGAUGAAGACUGCAAGGCUUGAAUCUGGCAGAGGGGGGUAGAAUUCCACGUGUAGCAGUGAAAUGCGUAGAGAUGUGGAGGAACACCGAUGGCGAAGGCAGCCCCCUGGGUCAAGAUUGACGCUCAUGCACGAAAGCGUGGGGAGCAAACAGG